GUGCUUGCUUCUCCCAGCUUGCCACCUCCAUCUGGGUCAGGAGGAGCAAUUGGAAGCAGAAGCUCCAAGAGAAAGGUGGGAAUGUUGGUAAACCCAGGUGAAAAAAAGCAACAAGGAGGGUUGCUAGGAGAAAUGAAUGAAAUGAUACAAGUAAGGUAGAAAGCAGAGUGCUUUCUACAAGCCAAGAAGUGGCCCCCCAACAGAUACCAAGCUCUGGACCUCCUGGUGCCUUGAUUUUGGACUUCCCAGCCUUUUUCAGACCUGUGAGAAAGGUCCGCCGCAUCUUGGAAGGAAACUUCAAAGCUCAUUUAAAGUCAGCCUCUCACAUAGCCCUGCUGGUCUAACUUUCUUCUGAAUGUGAUUUCAGAAGUAAAACCAGGCCAGGGGCUGGGACUCAGGAGAGACAAAUACCAAGGAGAUAUCAGGAAGAAUAUUGUCCCCAGUAAAUACCAAGUCACAUCAGGAAGAAUAUUGUGGAGAGAGAGGUAAAGAAUCAGGAUGGAAACAGAAAAUAGGCCGAACAAUGGCCAAGCGUCAAAAUCCUACGUCAGGACAGUGCUAGGACUGCUUUUUUCUAUAUCAGACACGUGGGCUCCUGCUGUGUCUUCCUGGAAAGCAGAGGCCAAGGAUGGAGCAGACCAAGAGGAUGCCAGGAAAAAUCACAAAGAAGCCCAGAAAGCACAGCUGGAAGCCAAGAACCCUAUUUUUGGUUUGUGUGGGUGGAAGGUGAGGGACAACAUAUAGUGACCAACAGGAUUCUUCAUUUGAAAGAGAAUGGAGUACAUCAGACCUGUGUAUUUAGGUGAAGUAUGAUAAACAUCAUCAUACUUCAAAGAUUAUGAACAUCAAAGAUUAUGGAAAGGAACA
This 867-nucleotide long non-coding RNA is filed under the name Homo sapiens (human). Its description in RNAcentral is "novel transcript". The record is from RNAcentral. Lineage: Eukaryota; Metazoa; Chordata; Mammalia; Primates; Hominidae.